UUUUUUUUUUUUUUUAGUAACAAUAUUUUAGAGGCCCAGUGACCAUGAAUCAGAAAUGAGUAAACACGAAUGAGUAAAUCCCCUGUAAGGCAGACACAGCAUUUCUGAAAGGAAAUCCUCUAAGGUGGAACAAAAUGGCAGGGAUACCUUGUAUACAAAAGAGCCCUUUUCACAUCUUGGGAUGCUGCUUGGUGUGUUGUGUUUGGCUGUAGCAUAUGAAGAAAUUGCAGCUUCAGAGCUUAUUCCAGGCUCCUCCCAAACAGCUCAGAGUCACCCUCAUGCCUGCAGGGAUGAAGAAUUUAAGUGCUUGUUUAAAAUUAAACAAUACCCCUCCAUGUAUGUGAGCUACACUAGACAGACACAUGGACUGGCAUGACAGCCAUGGGAAGGAGAAAGUUUUCCAAAUCUGAUUAAGUUGACUGUUUUUUAGUAAGAAAGGAACAUUCAGUUUUUGGAAUAUUCUGUACUCUAUUCUUUGAAUUAGUUCCAACUGUGGAAGGGACUUUUGUAUUGAAGUGAUACCUACUGAGGACAAACUGAGGGUAUUAGAACAGUUUGAGUAAUCCAUUGAGCUGGCAUAAUUUGGUAAUAAUUUUCUGUCACUCCUAUUUUGUGUUGGAUCUGAAUCAGAACUGCAUAAUCAAUUUCUCUGUAACCCAUUAUCUAAUCCACUUCCUUCUAAGAAUCCUAUUUUAUUAAAUAAAUGGUGAUUGAUAUUAGAUGCAGGUGUGGUAAGUCCCUGUCUUUUGUUUUUUCAGCAGUCUGAGAUUUUGAUGUACCCCUGCAGGGUGAAUGAAUGGUUUCCUAAUCUGUGUAGUUUUUUAGGGAGUGAAUUCAGUGUCUUCAAACCUGGGAGAAAUUUAGGCAGGGCUGGCUGCACUGAGCCCUGAAAUAAAUGCUUCUAAGGUAGUGCCCCUUUUAGCCUCAUGUUUGUUCCCCUCCCAUAUUUUCCUCAAUUUUCCAUAUUAUCUAAGCAGUCAAAAAUAUGUCUCAGCCUACGGUAGAGGAAUUCAAUGUGUUCUUUAAAAGAGGGCUUUGCUUUUAGCUGUUACCUUCAGGCCCUCCUUAAUACAAACCAGUGACAAUACUCAUUUGAAUUAUUAUGUGUUUUAUUGGAGGCAUUGUAACGAGGAUGUGCUGUUAAAGUUUGGAUAACAAUGUAUUUACCUGCCAGUGUUUUAAAUCAUAAGAGCACCUCUGCUGGCUUACAGUAUCUGGAUGCUCAGCAUCAGGAGCUGUGAUUUGGCUGCAACCCCAGCAUCCAGUAUAUGUUGCACCUUUAGCAUCCAAACUGGUAAAAUGGCAGGCAUACAAUUAACCGUGUACAAUUAACUACAGUUUCUUCUUUAUGUGCUGCUCCUGGCAAGUGUAUCAUUCUUCUCCUACCUCUGCAGUUUUAUACUUCAAGCUUUUCUUCCUCUUUCCAGCAUUUUCUUGUGCAGUCACUUCAAGUGGUGAUUUCUCAGUAUUAAUUGUUAUGUAUUUUCAUGGGUAUUAUAUUCUUCAUCCGUUACCUUGUUUUAAUAUAUGCAUUAAAAAGAUAAUAGACAUUUAUUUUUUUCUGACAUGAGGUGUGCUAUGUGCCAUACUAUUUUCCAUACAUUCAGGGAAUCCCCCUUCACUUUUGCCAAUCACAGCUCUUGAAACAUGGCUUGUAUAUCAAUUAUCAACCCAUACCCAUUUUAAAAUUCAUUUCUUCUUCUUCCUGCCUAUCAGAUAUUGAGAAAUGGUUGACUGUAAUUUCUCAAAGUUGCAAGAACUAGUCUAAGCUUGCCUUCUGAUCAAAUAAAGUCUUAAGACAUAAUGCUUUAUAACAGGCCAGACUAUGAUUAAACACUUGGAGUUUUAACUUGUGAAUACUUGACCAAAUAAAUGCCAUAAUCAACUGGAAUAGAUGGCAUGUGAUGAUUUGCUGCGUGUGAAAAUUGUUUUUUAUUACUUUCUUUCUUUCUUACCUUCUUUAUUUCUUACUUUCAUGACUCGAGUGUUCAUUUGCAAUCAGACAUAAUAUCUUUAAAAUUAUCAGUUAUUUGGGUUUUUUUAAAGAAAUUGUGGCUUUCUAGAGGGUUGUGUUUUGGGUCUUCAUGGGCAAUUAUGUUUCCACUGGUGGGCUGAGCAAAUAUUUUUGUAUCUUGCCUACUGUAACAUCACUCACAACUAGUUCCUGUUAAAAGUGUUUUGAAACUGUGGUAGAAAUCAUGCUUUUCUCCCUUUUUAAAGGAUCAUUGUUUUUGAAAGCUAGAGAAGCUUCUUUGUCUCCUAGUUUUUGGUCUCAAACAGAAUGCAUUUCUUUAGCUUUAAAAUGCGAAGUUUCUGUUUAACCAUGGAUUGUGAGGUCCCUUGUUUUCUACAUUCAUGUUUGAAGGAAUUCAUUUGAGGGUAAUUCCAAGUAAAAAAGAAAGUCUAUUGUAGCACACUGGAUGUCUGCAGGUGUUCUAAUUUCCUGCUGUAUCACUGUCUAGGAGAUUUCACCUUCAUGUGUAGGGAGUUCAUUCGGGCUAAUCAGGAUUGGCAACUCUGUGCAAAUGAGACUGUAAAUGAAGCUUGAAAGUGGAAAUUAUUUUAAAGAAAAUGUUUGGAUUAAAGAGGCUGUGUUAUAUUUAUCUUUGUAAUUUCCUCUUCCAGCUGAACACCCUUAACAAUUUCAUAUUUUCUUAUAUUAAAAGUUUUGAAAAUCAAAGAAAUUAAGGCAGAUCAUUAAUAUAAACUGUUGUUUUUUUUUCUGAGUAUCAGUCAUACUUAAUGCAUUCAGAAUUUAAUGGUAGUGUAUGAAGAAAUCAGUCCUAACAAACACGCUGAGAAAGAGACAAGUAAAUUGGUUUUCCUCCUUCAUUUUGAAAUGUUUUCUUGAGGACAGUGCUCUGCAGGAAAGGAGGUUAAAUUAUGGCUCCCAUUUAGGAAGCAGCUCUGUGUUUUAGGAGCAGCGAGAGAUGUUAUUAAAUGCCAUUUCUCCCUGAAGUCCUUCCUAAACUCCGUGGAGUUGGUUUGAAAACUGAUAGCGCUUUGCCCUUCAUGAGCAGCUAGCUUAUCUUUAUGUUCCUGGAGACUUGUGGAAUUUAUUAAAUCCUUUAAGGAAUAAAAAUGGCAUAUACUUUAUACGCACAGAUUUUUAUCUAUUUCCUUUUACUUUAUUGCUGUUCCAUGUGCACGCAAGGUCAGUGGUGUCUCUGGUGCUGCCUGUGCUGGCAGAGCUGUGCUGUUCUCACGAGCACUCCCAGUUCUCUUCCUUCAAGUUCCUACUUGACUAACAAAACGGUUGCGUUGCUCUUUUGCCCAGUUCCUAACAAUUCCCUGAGGAGCUGUUUUCACUUUCUGUAGAGCAUUUACAUUUUAUCUUUGUACGAGAGGAGUUUUGGCAUCAAUCUUUAUUUUUACUCUAAUGGGAUUGAUUUUGGAGUUACCUACACAACCAUUCCCACAUUCCUGCUUAAGUAUAAGCCUUCAGAAUACAUGGAACAAUAACCAUUACGUAUCAGAAGAUUAACUAGACUGGAGAACAAUAAAACUUAGUGAAGCAGGAAUCCUCAAUUGAUGUGGAAUAAUUUUUGAAGCUUACAUCAGUUUUGUGAGAGCUUUAAUUUUACAUCCCUAUACGUUUCAGAUUACUUGACAAUAGCAAGCUAAUAGCAGGGUGUACUUUUUCUACUUAGAGAAAGGAAUGGAACAAUUAAAAAAAAAUUAGUUUCUUGCUUGAGAGGCAGAAUGGUACUUGUUGUUUGAGACUUUCUAUGAGAAAAAGUUCAGUUUGCCCUCUGUUGAAGUUGUCAUUUCAGCAACCUGAACAAAGUGGUGGUGAAGAAUGUUUGCUUGUAAAGCCUUUUGGGGAGCUAAUGUAGUUUGCAAGUUUUCUUGUGACAUUUAACAUCAAUUGGUUAGGUUGUGGCUGUGUCACAAUCCAUAUUUAUGCAUCAGAGAUUGAUUUUCUUACCUUGGCUUGUGCCCCUUCUGUUCAAAUGGCUGCUGUAGAGUUAAAUGUGCUGUCUGUGUAAAUCUGUUUCCAUAUUGUGGAUAGCACUGAAUAUGUAUGUUCAUAUAGCAUAUGGUCAUGCUCUUCAAACAACAAAAAUCUAAAAACAAGGAAUUUCUAAAAUACAUAAGUGAGCACAGAUCUUUCUAGAGGACAGGAAUUUCUUGACAGUCAAAUAAUUUUACUGUUUUUUUCUUCUCAUUUUUUCUGGGCUUUCCCAGGCAUGUUUAAUGCGUGUGUGCAAUUCCAAAACAAUGGAAAGAAUAACAUUCUGGGAUGUCCUUUUGAACAAAAGAAAUGCAAACUGGAAUGCUGAAAUGAAGGCUGGAAUAGCUGGGAAAAAAGACAGUUGGUUAAGAGAUGUGUAAUUUUGAAGGUAUUAAUUCUUUGCAGCCUGAGCUGUCAUGUUUCAAACUGCUUCCUGCAGGAGAAUAUCAAAAGCUACCAAUUCAAAUUGUCAACACAGAGUAAACAGUCAAAAUAAAUUAAAAUUGCCCUCUGUGAUUCGUUGUCCCGAGGAAUUUGAAAGGAAGUGGUGUUAUUGAGAUAUGUUAUUUUCUCAGCAGGGAAAGCAAAUGUGCCUUCCUAAGACUUAUCUGUCACUUCCUAAAUACCUUAUUCAAAACCAUGCAUAUAUUUUCAUUUGUUUGUGAUAGGCAUAGAAGUGGGAAGUCCCCAUUCAUCCCUACUGCUCUCAACAUAGUAUCUAGCAAGGUUGACAGGUCUUGUAAUUUGUUUGCUGCUUCUAUUAUUUCAUUUCUUUUUCUUCAGUUCACAAAAGAGCUGUAUUCCAAUUCCUGUCACUUUUUGUGUGCUAAAUUCACUUCAAGUGAACCUACAUUUAAAUCUCAAAUCUUCUGCUCUGAAUUAAAAGGUGACUGCACUUGCAUGAAUAGAUUUUGAGGAUGAAAAUAAUAAGCUUCAGUAGCUUAAAAUUUCAUUACCUGAAUCUGUUAAUACAUACUAAUUCUAAGCACUCCAGUGCUGAUUUAAGAUCUUACUAGAAACCUUUGCAGAGAGAUUGCAGAAUGAGUGCAUGGGCACUAGGCACGUGGGAAAGUCUGGACGUUAAAUAAUUAUUCAGAUAAAAAAGCAAAAAGGCACUGGGGAGCCUGAAGACUCUUGCUUAAAGUGUGCCUGGGGUUGAAAAUUCAUUCUGACAGUCUAUGAUUGCUGCAAGCAUCCAAAUGACUUAAGAAACAGCUGCAGCUACUUUAUGGGGUGCAUUGCUCGAUGGAAGAUGCUCCAAGUAUGCAUUUGCAUUGCCUGGGAGUGUCACCCUGGCAGCAAAAACUUGAAUUAAGGGCUUUAAGUGUUGUGUUAUGUUAUGGGAGAGAGAGAGCAGAGGAGAAGAGGAAUUUAGAACUUUGACCAAAUACAGAAUUUAGGCUAAAACAUUGCCACUUAGCUCCCUGCCAUUUUCCUUGUUAAAAUUCAGUGAGAUGUAAAAGGAAGAGGAAUAAUUGGGUGAUGAGUGGCUGCAUGAAAAUUUCAAGGAGGAGUUUCUGUUUUGUGGCUCUGUGUCAAGAGCUUUCUUACUAUGUGACUGUUUCAUAAAAUGAGUGGAUUAGUGGUUGAAAAUGUGGGUAUAUUGAAGGUGACUACAGUAAACUGUCAUUAAAUGAGCAAGGUUGUUUACCCUGUGUGACUGCUCUGCCCCAAACACCAAAUCAUGUCAGGCUGUGGGCACCUCUUGAGCUACCAGUGGAGUAGCAGAGCCACUGCUAAAAAUCCCAAACUUGCCUUACAGGUUUCCUGGCACCUUUCAGCAGUAGAUGGAGGAAGAAUGUACCAGACUUGUUGAAACAGAGUGAUCUAUGAGUGCAUGGAAAAAAUUCUUCCAGCCAUACCACGACUGGAGAUAGGGUGUGUCCAGUGCAGUUUGGGAUGGGAAAGAUUGUUUCCUGGAGGCAAUCAUGGUCCUCCAGUGGCUGCCUCGCCCCAGAGCGAGCUCAGAGGCAUGUGUAGGAGGAGACCCAUUCAUCAUGGCCCAGAUGUGCUGUCAGAGCCUGCUCCUGUGUCUGGCUGUAUGGAUCUGCCUUGGAGUUGUGCUCCUUUAAUCCAUUCACACUCUGCCUGCAGAAUGCAGCUUGACAUCAUGGUGCCCUGCUUGGUUUUGCAAGCAGAGGAGCGAGGCAGUUUUUCAUCUUCCUUGUGCCUCAUUUCCGUGGCAAUAAUGAAUGAAUUCAGCAUUUUAAAGUUUGGAAAGAAUUUAGACCUAGCUGAACAUUCAUUUUGUAUUUUCUUAUUUGUGAUUCCUCCAAGGCACAAGUUUAUAAAAAUGAAUCAAGAGGUACAAAUUUCUCUAUCCGGUCACUAGUAAUGAAAUAUCAAACAACCUUUUAAUUGUUAGUAGACCAGACUUCCAGAAAUUUGUCUUAAUGUUUGGUUCCAUGUUUAAUAGAUGUUGGGGAAAAGAAAAAAA
Taeniopygia guttata (zebra finch) is the source of this 6392-nucleotide long non-coding RNA. NCBI's taxonomy places the organism in Eukaryota, Metazoa, Chordata, Aves, Passeriformes, Estrildidae. The record is from Ensembl.